Molecule: long non-coding RNA, 849 nt
Filed under: Vulpes vulpes (red fox)
Lineage: Eukaryota; Metazoa; Chordata; Mammalia; Carnivora; Canidae
Description: lncRNA (ENSVVUG00000024411.1)
Source: RNAcentral
CUGGCCUUCAGUGACCUUCAGAUCCUCAUGACCUCUCCUGGGAUCCAGCCACUCGACAGCAAGUGGAAGGAAACAAGGGGGUGAGAAGAAGGAGGCCAAGGUCACUUCUAAGCAGGUCCAGAUCUGAUGAUGACCUCUCCUCACCACACUAAUUUCCAGUAAGCCACUGGGGUCAGGACUAGUUCCCAGUAGUGGAUGAUGUGGAGAGCAGCCUGAGAGCCUGUCAGUUCUUUCUUCAGCACCAAGGCAAGUUAAUGUGCAACAUUUGGCCAUUGGUCACUGGAGGGCCAGCUGGAGAGUAGGCGGCCCCAGCACUGUCAUGGGAGGUCCCAAUAUCACUCCCCUUUUCCUCUCUGACCAAAAUAAUAAAUUAUUUCUUCUCUGCCUUAGACCUGGGAGUGGAGAACACUGCUGAGGUAGUGGACAGAUGACCCACAAAGUCCCCAAGACUCAAGUCUGAUGAAGAGAACAAUACAUCCCGGCAUUAUAGGCCUAUGGAAUCAGAAAUCACAGGAGCCCACACGAAGUCCUCACUUACCUCACUUACACAGUUUUUCAAGACCCAGUGUGCUGGCACAAAUCCGUAAACUGGAUCAGACAGAAGGCAAUUUCUGGAAGAGAGAAAUAAGCAUCUGGACAAUUUUUAUAAACACCCCCUUGGCACCAGGAUGGUGUGCUUGCUGCUGACGUGUUUUGGCCAGUACAUGACCACUCUAAAGAGAAGCAUGCUGGGGGGACCUUUCCUGUCUCCAGCGAUCUGAGGGGAAGCAAGACAUUGAAUCCAUUCCUCAGCUAAGGCCUUUCUGUUCUUAUAGGCCAAAAUAAAAGGGACUCAACCUCCUGGUGUCA